GAACUCCUGGGCUCAAGCGAUCCGCCCACCUCGGUCUUCGAAAGUGCUGGGAUUCCAGGCGUGAGCCGCCGCGCCGGCCUUAACAGCGCAUUUUCACCAGCCCCGCCCCGGCCGCGCGCGGCACUGGAAACCCCAGCGCCUUCUGGACGGCGAGGGUGACGCACUGGCCCUCUUCCUCGGUGUCCUCAGGUGCGUGGCGGCGGCAGUGAGAAUGAGUUCUUCGAGAUCGCCGGGAGACCACACAAUAACGACGAAGUUACUUGCCGGGCUACCCGCCGAGACUUGAAAACUUCGCGGCGACUUCUCUCGCCGGCCUUAGCAUCGCCCCCAUUUUUCAGGUUACAGGACAGGCCUGCAACUGCAAAACGCUUUGUAAACCACAGGGCCCCGCGCGGGUGUGCGCCACUGGGUUAGCUGAGCUGCAGCCCGGGCCGGGCGGGCUGGGACGUGAGCAAGCCGGGGGAGACGGGAGAGCCAUGGGGAGCCAGAUCCCACCUUCGCGUGACCUUGGGCAAAUCACAACCUCGCCUAAGGCCCGGAAUGACUCUGCGCGGAGAGGAAGAGCACUGAGUGCGGGAGGGCAUCGACGUUUUGGUGCCCCCACUGGUCGCGUCCGGCGCUGGAGGAGCCCAGUCAGCCGGCGCCUGCCGGGUUAGCACGUGGACUCCGAGGGGCCAACUAUCAGCUUUCCCUGACAAAAUGCCUUUGAGCUCCCCCACAGCUCUGAAACUCCAGCUUGGGAGCAGGGAGAGUGCAAUCUGUGACCUGUAAAGGGGCGCUGGGCAAAAGGGCCCGAGAGAAGGCGUCCUUUCCAUUCCCUUCCCAUCUCAAGCUGAGUUCAGAAAUGACACGAAAUAAUUUAAUCAACUAUCAGUCAAGGUCGGGCUCACGCCUGUAAUCCCAGCAGUUUGGGAGGCCGAGGUGGGCGGAUCACCUGAGGACAGGAGUUCGAGACCAGCCUGACCAACAUGACGAAGCCCCGUCUCUACUAAAAAUACAAAAAUUAGCCAGCGGUGGUGGUGCGCACCUGUAGUCUCAGCUACUUGGGAGGCUGAGGCCAGAGAAUCGCUUGAGCCCGCGAGGUCGAGGCUGCAGUGAGCCGAGAUCACACCACUGCACUCCAACCUGGAUGACAGAGGGAGACUCUGUCUCAAAAAAUAAUAAAUAAAUAAAUAAAUAAAUAAACUAUCGGUCAAG
Molecule: long non-coding RNA, 1197 nt
Filed under: Homo sapiens (human)
Lineage: Eukaryota; Metazoa; Chordata; Mammalia; Primates; Hominidae
Description: HSALNT0390045
Source: RNAcentral